GAAGACACAAGGUGGGAGAAUCACAAAGCAAGAAGACCGAAAACAUCCAUAGGAGAAUACUGACAUGGAAAAUAUUCACGUUAUUUUAUUACAUUAAUAUGUAAGUAUAAUUAUUAGGAACAAAGACUAGAAAGGGUUGACAAUGAUUGUGUCUGACUAAUAGAAUUUUUUUUUCUGUGAACUUUUCUGUUUUUCCCAGACUUUUAGGAGUGAUUAUUUGCUUUUGUAACAAGAAAAACAAAAACUAAAAACAAGAACAACCUAUUGGCUUCUUCGAAAGUCUCUUGGGGAGUUUAAAUCUAAUUGCCUUUUUCCUUCUGCCUCCUACCAGCCUCUUCCUGAAAGGCCAUCCUCCAAAAUGAGAGGCUCUGCCCCUGAUGAAUAAAGCCAGACACUGGUAAUAACCCCAGGGGGUCAUCUGGGAGUCCAGCCAUGCAGAGGAUAUGGUACCAAUGGACUUCUAAUUGUUAACUAACGGUAAGAAUAAUGUUUACUCACUCAUAAAUUUUUUUGUAUUAUUUUUCUUUGAAAAAUAUUUACUUAUUUUAAAGGAAACUCCAGCCAUUGUCAGUUAUACAUCUUUAAGAAAUACAGACAUUUUCUUACAUAACAAUACUGCUUUUAUCACACUGAACAAGAAUAUCAUUCUUUGGUUUUAUCUAAUGCUCAAUACAUAAUCAAAUUCACCUAUGUAAAAAUAGUUUUUUUCUUUUUUAGCUGCCCUAUGGCAAUGCUGGAUCCUUAACCCACUGUGCCAGGCCAGGGAUCAAACCUGUGUCCCGGCACUUCCAAGAUGUCACUGAUCCCGUUGUACCACAGAACUAUAAAAAUGUUUUUGAAUGUUUGAUUUGUUGGAAUUAGGAUCCAAAGUUCACACAUUACAUUUGAUUUUGUUAUCUCUAAAGUUCCUUUUAAUCUAGAGCAGUCCCUCCCUUCCCCUCCUUUUUUCUUCUCCCUGCCACUGAGUUGACUAAAGUAUAUUUUACAGUGGUCUCUAAGAGAAAAUCCUCUAAAUGCCAGCAAUGACUAAUUGGUGGGGAUUUCAGAACAAAUAGGACAAUAAGAAUAGAGACAAAAAAUAUUUGCCUCAGGAAGGUACCCAGCAAAGCCAUGGUGCUUAAACAUAAAAAGGCCCUGAAAUUAAGAGAAGCCAUAAAAAUUAGUACCUUGGAUGUUAACCACAGUUGAGUUUUCACUGAACAUUGGCUCUAGGAUCUCAGGAUCAUUACCUUUAAUUAUAAAGUACAAUCACUGUAUAACAAAUGGAGGACUCUUUUUGUAGUGUUGGACUAAUUCCUGUGAUAUCUAUAAAAUUGGCUACUACAAGAAUAUUUGUGUACAUUAUCUACUUCUGUUUUUCACCUAAAAAACAAACAAAAAACACAACUCCAUAAAAAAGGUAUGAGAAACAAUCCCAAGGUUAGAAUAAGAUGGCACAGACUCAUUUACAAAAAAAGACUACACGUUUCUCAUUAAUUUAUCAUUUAAUAUAAAUGCUGACAGAAAGUAAAGACCUUAUAGACACUUUUAUAUAUUUACAAACCAAAAGGCGAAUCAUCUCCUUCUACUUAUUAAAAUAAUCCUUUUAUCUGCAACUCAUGGGAGCCUUAAACACUAAUUUGGAGCAACAUGAGGCUGAGUCAGUUUCCAAGCUAAUAAACACCAUUUUAACAAAAUGUGGCAUCUUAGAUACAACCAACUUGCACACAGAUAAUAAUACAAAACUGAAAAAGAUGGCCCUCAUCCUCUCAAAGCCCUGUAAGAAUUAGAAUAUGUACUUACUCAGAGUUUUGCUGUCCUAAAUAUCUUCCUAUUAUUUUUUUUUCCACCUCACUUUUUUGAAGGCUGUUUAAAAAUUGGAAAUAUAAAUAGAUUUUUAAAAAGAGAAGAAAAUGGUCUAUUUCAAACAUGGUUCUUUUUUCCUAUUUCAAAAUAACUUUCAGGAGAUAGUCUUCAAAGAAGAUUUCAGAGUUUGCUAGGUGCUAGGGAAUUAUUCGCAGCUUGUGAAAUUCCAACUCAUUAUGGUCACUUUUUAAAGAAAAGUUGCAAACACUUGGAAAAAGUACAAUUUCACAAACUUUAGCAAUACAAAAAUCAGCUGACCCUUUAAGGCUCCAUAUUUUAACUUCUGAACCGGUGGGUGGAGGCAGGCAAUAAAGAACAAGGACCAAAGGAAUGUGAGAAAACUUAAAAAAAAAAAAAAAAAAAA
Non-coding RNA from Sus scrofa (pig), 2209 nucleotides. Lineage: Eukaryota; Metazoa; Chordata; Mammalia; Artiodactyla; Suidae. The record is from RefSeq and is a predicted model, not a curated record.